RNAcentral lists this transfer RNA (75 nucleotides) under Anaerolineaceae bacterium. RNAcentral describes it as "tRNA-Gln". It matches the Rfam family "tRNA". From Rfam's summary of the family: Transfer RNA (tRNA) molecules are approximately 80 nucleotides in length. Their secondary structure includes four short double-helical elements and three loops (D, anti-codon, and T loops). The record is from RNAcentral. Lineage: Bacteria; Bacillati; Chloroflexota; Anaerolineae; Anaerolineales; Anaerolineaceae.
UGGGGGAUAGUUUAAUUGGCAAAACAGUAGAUUCUGGAUCUAUCGUUCUUGGUUCGAGUCCAGGUCCCCCAGCAA